This 403-nucleotide ribosomal RNA is filed under the name uncultured eukaryote. RNAcentral describes it as "SSU rRNA". It matches the Rfam family "Eukaryotic small subunit ribosomal RNA", at positions 592 to 996 of the family's 1831-position model. The record is from RNAcentral.
CAAUAGCGUAUAUUAAAGUUGUUGCGGUUAAAAAGCUCGUAGUUGGAUUUCUGCCGAGGACGACCGGUCCGCCCUCUGGGUGAGCAUCUGGUUCGGCCUGGGCAUCUUCUUGGAGAACGUAUCUGCACUUGACUGGGUGGUGCGGUAUCCAGGACUUUUACUUUGAGGAAAUAGGAGUGUUCCAAGCAGGCUCUCGUCGUGCACAGCUCAGCAUGGAAUAAUAGCAUUGGACCUCGAUUCUAAGCUGUUGGUUGCCAGAAGCGAGGUAAUGAUGAAGAGGGAUAGUUGGGGGGCGAUUCGUAUUUAACUGUCAGAGGUGAAAUUCUUGGAUUUGUUUAAAGACGGACUACUGCGAAAGCAUCUGCCAUGGAUGUUUUCAUUGAUCAAGAACGAAAGUUAGGGA